RNAcentral lists this ribosomal RNA (230 nucleotides) under uncultured bacterium. RNAcentral describes it as "partial 16S ribosomal RNA". It matches the Rfam family "Bacterial small subunit ribosomal RNA", at positions 57 to 305 of the family's 1533-position model. The record is from RNAcentral.
GCAAGUCGAACGCUCCCUUUGGGGAGAGUGGCGGACGGGUGAGUAACGCGUGGGAAUAUACCUUAUGGUACGGGACAACCACUGGAAACGGUGGCUAAUACCGUAUGAUGUCUUCAUUCAUUUGGAGACCAAAGAUUUAUCGCCAUAAGAUUGGCCCGCGUUAGAUUAGCUAGUUGGUAAGGUAAUGGCUUACCAAGGCGACGAUCUAUAGCUGGUUUGAGAGGAUGAUC